GGUCUUAUGGCUGAGUGGUUAUAGCGGAGUACUGUUAAUACUUUAUACAGAGGUUCAAGUCCUCUUAAGGCCU
RNAcentral lists this transfer RNA (73 nucleotides) under Flammulina velutipes. Its description in RNAcentral is "tRNA-Asn". It matches the Rfam family "tRNA". From Rfam's summary of the family: Transfer RNA (tRNA) molecules are approximately 80 nucleotides in length. Their secondary structure includes four short double-helical elements and three loops (D, anti-codon, and T loops). The record is from RNAcentral. Lineage: Eukaryota; Fungi; Basidiomycota; Agaricomycetes; Agaricales; Physalacriaceae.